Molecule: non-coding RNA, 85 nt
Organism: Mycena olivaceomarginata
Lineage: Eukaryota; Fungi; Basidiomycota; Agaricomycetes; Agaricales; Mycenaceae
Source: the annotation of a GenBank genome assembly
UCCCUCUUAGCUCAGUUGGUAGAGCGCGUCACUAGUAUCAGCUUGGUCUAUGACGAGGUCAGUCGUUCAAAUCGGCUAGCGGGAA